This 253-nucleotide ribosomal RNA is filed under the name uncultured bacterium. Its description in RNAcentral is "partial 16S ribosomal RNA". It matches the Rfam family "Bacterial small subunit ribosomal RNA", at positions 524 to 776 of the family's 1533-position model. The record is from RNAcentral.
UACGGAGGGUGCAAGCGUUAAUCGGAAUUACUGGGCGUAAAGGGUGCGUAGGCGGAUAGCUAAGUCAGACGUGAAAUUCCGAGGCUCAACUUCGGAGCUGCAUCUGAAACUGGUUAUCUAGAGGGAUGGCGGAGAAAACGGAAUUCCACAUGUAGCGGUGAAAUGCGUAGAUAUGUGGAAGAACACCUGUGGCGUAGGCGGUUUUCUAGCUUAACCCUGACGCUGAGGCACGAAAGCAAGGGGAGCAAACAGG